RNAcentral lists this ribosomal RNA (253 nucleotides) under uncultured Acidobacteriota bacterium. RNAcentral's name for it is "uncultured Acidobacteria bacterium partial 16S ribosomal RNA". It matches the Rfam family "Bacterial small subunit ribosomal RNA", at positions 524 to 776 of the family's 1533-position model. The record is from RNAcentral. Lineage: Bacteria; Pseudomonadati; Acidobacteriota.
UACGUAGGUGGCAAGCGUUGUCCGGAUUUACUGGGCGUAAAGAGCGCGCAGGCGGCUCUUCAAGUCGAAUGUGAAAGCCCCCGGCUCAACUGGGGAGGGUCAUUCGAUACUGAUGGGCUGGAAGGCGGGAGAGGGAAGUGGAAUUCCGGGUGUAGUGGUGAAAUGCGUAGAUAUCCGGAGGAACACCAGUGGCGAAGGCGACUUCCUGGCCCGUUCUUGACGCUGAGGCGCGAAAGCUAGGGUAGCAAACGGG